RNAcentral lists this ribosomal RNA (445 nucleotides) under uncultured bacterium. RNAcentral's name for it is "bacterial SSU rRNA". It matches the Rfam family "Bacterial small subunit ribosomal RNA", at positions 329 to 792 of the family's 1533-position model. The record is from RNAcentral.
UUCCAGACUCCUAGGGAGGCAGCAGUGGGGAAUAUUGCACAAUGGGGGAAACCCUGAUGCAGCAACGCCGCGUGAGUGAGGAAGUAUUUCGGUAUGUAAAGCUCUAUCAGCAGGGAAUAGAAAAGAAGGUACCUGAAAAAGAAGCCCCGGCUAACUCCGUGCCAGCAGCCGCGGUAAUACGGAGGAUGCGAGCGUUAUCCGGAUUUAUUGGGUUUAAAGGGUGCGUAGGCGGGCUUUUAAGUCAGCGGUAAAAAUUCGGGGCUCAACCCCGUCCGGCCGUUGAAACUGGGGGCCUUGAGUGGGCGAGAAGAAGGCGGAAUGCGUGGUGUAGCGGUGAAAUGCAUAGAUAUCACGCAGAACCCCGAUUGCGAAGGCAGCCUUCCGGCGCCCUACUGACGCUGAGGCACGAAAGUGCGGGGAUCGAACAGGAUUAGAUACCCUUGUA